GACGAACGCUGGCGGCGUGCUUAACACAUGCAAGUCGAACGAUGAAUCCGGAGCUUGCUCUGGGGGAUUAGUGGCGAACGGGUGAGUAACACGUGAGUAACCUGCCCUGGACUCUGGGAUAAGCGUUGGAAACGACGUCUAAUACCGGAUAGGACCUUGGAUCGCAUGAUCUGGGGUGGAAAGUUUUUUCGGUCUGGGAUGGACUCGCGGCCUAUCAGCUUGUUGGUGAGGUAAUGGCUCACCAAGGCGUCGACGGGUAGCCGGCCUGAGAGGGUGACCGGCCACACUGGGACUGAGACACGGCCCAGACUCCUACGGGAGGCAGCAGUGGGGAAUAUUGCACAAUGGGCGAAAGCCUGAUGCAGCAACGCCGCGUGCGGGAUGACGGCCUUCGGGUUGUAAACCGCUUUUAGUAGGGAAGAAGGGCUUCGGCUUGACGGUACCUGCAGAAAAAGGACCGGCUAACUACGUG
RNAcentral lists this ribosomal RNA (472 nucleotides) under uncultured bacterium. RNAcentral's name for it is "partial 16S ribosomal RNA". It matches the Rfam family "Bacterial small subunit ribosomal RNA", at positions 28 to 507 of the family's 1533-position model. The record is from RNAcentral.